RNAcentral lists this ribosomal RNA (497 nucleotides) under uncultured bacterium. Its description in RNAcentral is "partial 16S ribosomal RNA". It matches the Rfam family "Bacterial small subunit ribosomal RNA", at positions 28 to 507 of the family's 1533-position model. The record is from RNAcentral.
GAUGAACGCUGGCGGCGUGCCUAAUACAUGCAAGUCGAGCGAACGGACGAGAAGCUUGCUUCUCUGAUGUUAGCGGCGGACGGGUGAGUAACACGUGGAUAACCUACCUAUAAGACUGGGAUAACUUCGGGAAACCGGAGCUAAUACCGGAUGAUAUUUUGAACCGCAUGGUUCAAAAGUGAAAGACGGUCUUGCUGUCACUUCUAGAUGGAUCCGCGCUGCAUUAGCUAGUUGGUAAGGUAACGGCUUACCAAGGCAACGAUGCAUAGCCGACCUGAGAGGGUGAUAGGCCACACUGGAACUGAGACACGGUCCAGACGCCUACGGGAGGCAGCAGUAGGGAAUCUGCCGCAAUGGGCGAAAGCCUGACGGAGCAACGCCGCGUGAGUGAUGAAGGUCUUCGGAGCGUAAAACUCUGUUAUUAGGGAAGAACAGAUGUGUAAGUAACUGUGCACAUCUUGACGGUACCUAAUCAGAAAGCCACGGCUAACUACGUG